GUUGGCUAUCUUGUUUUAACGGUUUGUGUUGGUUGGUGUUAAAGUUAAUUGAAGUAUUAUUUGUGUUAUUGUAUUGUUUUGAUUUAAUUUUUAUUACUAUAGGUAAUUUGUACUGUAGGGGGUGGUAGAUUUAGUAUUGUUUUGGAAGUUGAUUUUGUUUAUUGUACCUUGUGUAUCAGGGUUCAUUGAAUUUUAUUAUUUAUUUUUAUUUCCCGAUUUUAAAGGAGUUAAUGACUUAUGUUAGUUGCUGUCUCAUUAGUAUUAAUAAUAAGUUGUUGGUAGUGAAAUGUUAUUCGUCUUUAGUGGUUUCUGGUUUUUCAAGAAAUGAAUUUAAUUCAUACGUCUUAUUUAAUUUCUGUUGUUUAUUUACUCAUUUUUAUUUGAUGUUAAGAUUAAGGGGGAUUAGCUCCUGUUUUUAUUCUUAUAAUUGAUUGAUGGUUUAAUUUAGUUUUGUGGAUUUUAUGGUGAUUUUCUAUUUGAUUAUGUUAAAAUUUUAUUUAUUCUUUUUUGAAUUUUUUGUUAUUUAAGUUAUUUAUUGGAAUGUUUUCUUUCUUUUUUGUUUGUAUAGUAAUUAUUGUGUAAUUAGUAAAUUUUGUUUAAUUGUUAAUUGUGUAAGCGGUUAGGUGUUAGUUGCUUUUGAGGAAUUCGGCAAAUUUUAUGUCCGCCUGUUUAACAAAAACAUCUCUUCUUGUUAGUUUUUGAAGUAUGGCCUGCCCGCUGACGUUUAAAAGAGUUGAAGGGCCGCGGUAUCUUGACCGUGCAAAGGUAGCAUAAUCAUUAGUUCUUUAAUUGUGAUCUGGUAUGAAUGGCUGGACGAGACAUUAGCUGUCUUAAGGGUAUUGUUUAUUGAAUUUGGAGUUUGAGUUAAAAUUCUUAAAUGUUUUUAUGGGACGAGAAGACCCUAUAGAGUUUAACAGCUUUCUUACUUUAUGUCGUUUGUUUUGUGUUUCUUAUUGAGUAGGGGAAGGUGUUUUGUUGGGGUGAUGGGAGGAAUUUACUUAACUCCUCUUUGUAGUUGUAUACUUGUAUGUAUUUCUUUUGAUCCAUUUAUUUUGAUUAUAAGAUUAAAUUACCUUAGGGAUAACAGCGUUAUCCUCCUUGAGAGUUCUUAUUGGCAGGAGGGAUUGCGACCUCGAUGUUGGAUUAAGGUGAAUUUUCGGUGUAGGAGCUGAAAUUGAUUAGGUCUGUUCGACCUUUAAAAUCUUACAUGAUCUGAGUUCAGACCGGCGUGAGCCAGGUUGGUUUCUAUCUAUAAGUAGAUUAUAUAUCUUAGUACGAGAGGACCGGGUAUUUGGAAUAAUUUUAGUUACAUUGAAUUUUAUUAAUGAGGUACUAUUUUGGCAGAUAAGUGCAUUGGAUUUAGAAUCUAUUAA
RNAcentral lists this ribosomal RNA (1373 nucleotides) under Constrictotermes cavifrons. RNAcentral's name for it is "16S ribosomal RNA". The stretch from base 884 to 1255 matches the Rfam family "Bacterial large subunit ribosomal RNA", at positions 2073 to 2647 of the family's 2925-position model. The record is from RNAcentral. Lineage: Eukaryota; Metazoa; Arthropoda; Insecta; Blattodea; Termitidae.